RNAcentral lists this ribosomal RNA (274 nucleotides) under uncultured bacterium. RNAcentral's name for it is "partial 16S ribosomal RNA". It matches the Rfam family "Bacterial small subunit ribosomal RNA", at positions 523 to 796 of the family's 1533-position model. The record is from RNAcentral.
AUACGGAGGGUGCGAGCGUUACUCGGAGUCACUGGGCGUAAAGCGUCCGUAGGCGGUCGGGUAAGUCGGGUGUGAAAGCCCCGGGCUCAACCUGGGAAGUGCACCCGAUACUGCUCGACUCGAGUGCGGGAGAGGAUGGCGGAAUUCCCGGUGUAGCGGUGAAAUGCGUAGAGAUCGGGAGGAACACCAGUGGCGAAGGCGGCCAUCUGGCCCGCAACUGACGCUGAGGGACGAAAGCGUGGGGAGCAAAAAGGAUUAGAUACCCUAGUAGUCC